RNAcentral lists this long non-coding RNA (1259 nucleotides) under Trifolium pratense (red clover). RNAcentral describes it as "long non-coding RNA (TPRA_LNC002613)". Lineage: Eukaryota; Viridiplantae; Streptophyta; Magnoliopsida; Fabales; Fabaceae. The record is from RNAcentral.
AUUAUUGCAAUUUGCAAGAAAUGUUUCAUAUACCUACACAAAAUAGUUGCAACCACUAUUUUAAGAACUCAAACUUCAACAAAGUCAUUGUCCACUAUUGAAGAAAGAUUCAACCGAUAAAAAAGGCUUACAUAUUCAUGUCAAAACCAACAUGAAUCCAUCAAGAGAAAUUAAUCAUGCAGUUACAACUCAAUUUAAACCACUGUUGGUUUAUUUAUUUAUUUAUAAAAGGGAUGAGAGAAAAUAUUCAUAAACAGUACUAAUAUGAAUAUUUAAUCUCUUCAUAUAGCAACCACCAAACCACUUUACUUUAAAUUCAUGCUAUUGAAACUCCACAUUGUCCAUAUCUAUAAAUUCAAGUUUCAUAUUCAACCAUUAAAUCCUUGAUCCAAGUAUUUUAUAGCAGCCAAUUUUUCUAAUUCACAAAUACAAAUCAAAUCACAAUAUAAAACCAUUUAAGUAAGCAUAGUGUUUCUGCCUAGUGAAAGCUUUUUUUUAAUAAGCGAUGAAAGCUUCUUGAUGGUUGGAUGAAUCCAGCGGUUGAUAAAUUUUGACUUCAGUGAUUGUACAUAGGCUUUUAUCGACUGCCGUGAAUCUAAAUCCGACAUUGGAAGUAGCUGAUCGGUAAAUGAAGCGUCAUUUGGAGGUGUGGUAGAUUAAAGUCGGACACAACUAGCCUAAUCCUAAUCAUAACUUUAUUUGAGAUUAAAGUUGGACACAUUUUAAUCUCGUAAAUCAUAACUUAUAAUUUGCAACAUGAACAUCUAGUCUAGAUUAAAGUUUACAAAAAGUACGUCAUUUGCAACUUAAAACAUCUAUUUCUUUUCAAAAAUGACAACUAGCCUAAUCAUAAGUUUAUAAUUUAGCAUAACCAUUCCUACUGUAUGGAAAAUAUUCUUAGUAGUUGUACUCUUCGCCAAAAGCCUCACUACCGGAGGAGGGAGGGUUACUUAUCACGUCAAGAUCUUCAUUUUCUUCAUGCCGUUUCAACUUUGGACACCUAUACAAAAUAACACCAAUAUUAAAUAACAAUGCCUAAGUAACGUGGCUAAAAUCCUAGGAACCAUAAGAUGAGAAAGUGUAUUUAUAAAGUCACAUAAGAAUAAGAUGACGAAGAGCGUUUACUUACCAAGUCUCGAGUAAACCAUUUCGCCAAGAAAAGAACUUCAUUUUCUUCCGACAUUUUAUACUUAGCAUACCUUUAUAAAUUACAACAGUAUUAGUAUUAGGGAACAAUGGAUAAGUUAGCUAAAAACUAN